This 254-nucleotide ribosomal RNA is filed under the name uncultured bacterium. RNAcentral's name for it is "partial 16S ribosomal RNA". It matches the Rfam family "Bacterial small subunit ribosomal RNA", at positions 524 to 776 of the family's 1533-position model. The record is from RNAcentral.
UACGGGGGGAGCAAGCGUUGUUCGGAUUUACUGGGCGUAAAGGGCGCGUAGGCGGUCGUGACAAGUCACUUGUGAAAUCUCCGGGCUUAACUCGGAACGGUCAAGUGAUACUGUCGGACUAGAGUACAGAAGGGGCAACUGGAAUUCUCGGUGUAGCGGUGAAAUGCGUAGAUAUCAAGAGGAACACCUGAGGUGAAGACGGGUUGCUGGGCUGACACUGACGCUGAGGCGCGAAAGCCAGGGGAGCAAACGGG